CGUUGAUUGUCGCCCUCUUGACUGCAGCAUAUCGCAUUGUGCAUUGUCAGUGGAACAAAAAUGACUGAACAUUUGACAAAGAGGACAAUUGAUUACGUAGACCAGGAUGUGUCAGAAUCUCAGAAUGAGGACACGUCUCAGUCGAAAAAAGUGAAAUGGGACUCGGAUGAAAGAAACAUAGAUAUCAGUGAAAAUACUCCAAAGCAACAACAAGACGAGGAUCGAAACAACAGCAAUGGUCCCGUGAAAGUGAAGGUAACUGUUUCUGAAUUCACCGAACGUUUAAAAGUCCCAGUUCCUGAUCCAAUUCCAUAUCGCAUUGUUGUAAAUGAGAAAUGCAAGGACAGAAACUUUGAUGACGAGGCGCAAAAAGCGUCGCACAUACUAAAAAAUAUAGUAAUGGAGAAAAUGAAUGAUAAACUGACCGAUGAUUCUUCAAUGUCAGCAUUUCAAAGAGUUCAACAACAAGAUGACCAACCCAUGGUGGCUUUGCCAUGUAAAGCUCAAUAUUCACGCCCAGCGUUACCAGUACAUCAUUUUCCUUCCCAAAGAGGUUUCUAUCCUCCGUUCGUGCGACAGAACUUUGCUGGAUUUGGAAAUCUGACAUCACUUCCCCGAGUAGGAAUACCAAGGAUGGUUGAACAAUCGGGAAAGAUUAUGGUUCAACCAAUCCCACCCGUGCCCUCCGUAACGAUUAGAAAUUUACCACCAAUUCACGGGAUUGUACCAGCUAGAACAUUUAUUCAGACGUCAACCGGAACAGUGGCCCAAGAAACAGGAACCAUAACAUCGAUGAAUGAUCAAGCAUAUGGUUUGCCGAGUAGCGAGUACUUUAGCAAGAUCACAAGUCCGGCUAUUAAAGCGACAACAGUUCAAGUCAUGCCUGGUACCUCUAUGACGUAUAAAACCCCAGGUGCCUCGCAUAAGAACAGACAUGGCAAAGUCAAGCGGCCGAUGAAUGCGUUUAUGGUUUGGGCGCGAAACUACAGGAGUCGUCUUUCUGAGGAAAUGCCACAAGCUUCCAAUGCACAAAUCAGUGUUCGACUCGGCCAGAUCUGGGGCAGUAUGCCGCUUGCCGACAAGGAAAAGUACUUCAGAGAAGCGGAACGUAUCAAGCUUCAACACAACAGAGAUUUUCCAGGAUGGGUGUACCAACCAAAACAGAAGAAAAUGCCAUCAGAGAGCCAGCAUGACCGUCUCUGGGCAAGAUUUGGAUCAAACACAUGUAAGGACCAACCUAAAGAGAUGACAAGCAAUACCUGUCAGGAAGGGAUAGCACCUACUGUUCAUCAAAUCAUGACCCCGACUCCCGUCACUGUUUAUCCCAAAACACUCAUCGCCAACACACCUAAUAUUUCCAUGACGUCACCACUUCCUUCGUUUUCCCAGCUGACGCAGACUGUUUCCGACCCCACACCUAUUGUGUCCCUCGAGACGGGAAGACAUCCGACCCCGGGGUCUCUUGCUACUACAGACAGUAUAAAGUCAGGACCUGUGAGUGGGUCUAUUGACAGUAGCCAAGGACCUGCCAGAAGACCAACAGCCUUCCAAGUAGUGAGCAGUAGUCAACCACCGGCCUUCGCCGUGCAACCUUCGCCCAAGAUAGAGCAUGAGCUAACAUCACAUUUGACGGUAUCUAAGACAGGUCAUUAUCCACUGAAGAUGUCUACAUCUUCCUUGAUGGCCACCGGAAGUCCUACAAACGGAAGUGUUAGAUCACUGUCCAGUAGUACAGUGACAGGAUGCCCCUCUCCUAAAGGUCGACCUCCAAGUAUUUCUCGUAGAGUUUCACUUUCAGAAACACCAGCAAUGCUGAUUUCCGCACAGCGUGCCUAUCAGGAAGCGAGAAUGACUAGGAGCCAUUCUGAUGGUCCAAGUAAAACCAAGCCUACAACUUCUUCUGGACCCAUCACUACUACCCGUAUUUCGGACCAGAGGCAGAAAUCCGACGCCGCGCCCCUAACGACGGUCAGUGACGUAAGACCGCCCGGAUCACAGAGACCUUCAAAGUGUGCAGACCCAGUAGACGAGUUGUGGCCGUUCCCUCUCCCCACGGUUGAACACACUCCCCAUGUGGACGUACUCUAUGAUGGACCCUAAGGCCUGGUAUGAAACAUCUAAGGGAUUAUAUAGACAGAGCACGAAAUAUGGAAUAUCUACAAUUGACUUUGCACUACUUUUAACGAGAAUAUUUGGCCGUGAUUGCUUAAUAUGCAGAUCAUCUCCGAUACGAGCGCGAGAGCGGCCCCGGGUACAUUGAUCCCUACAACCCGUUCUAUUACGAUGGUAGCUAUGACGACACACGGU
RNAcentral lists this unclassified non-coding RNA (2307 nucleotides) under Mizuhopecten yessoensis (Yesso scallop). Its description in RNAcentral is "uncharacterized LOC110441976, transcript variant X1". The record is from RNAcentral. Lineage: Eukaryota; Metazoa; Mollusca; Bivalvia; Pectinida; Pectinidae.